Molecule: ribosomal RNA, 252 nt
Filed under: uncultured bacterium
Lineage: Bacteria
Description: partial 16S ribosomal RNA
Rfam family: Bacterial small subunit ribosomal RNA
Source: RNAcentral
UACGGGGGGGGCAAGCGUUGUUCGGAAUUACUGGGCGUAAAGGGCUCGUAGGCGGCCAACUAAGUCGGACGUGAAUCCCUCGGCUUAACCGGGGAACUGCGUCCGAUACUGGAUGGCUGGAGGUUGGGAGAGGGAUGCGGAAUUCCAGGUGUAGCGGUGAAAUGCGUAGAUAUCUGGAGGAACACCGGUGGCGAAGGCGGCAUCCUGGACCAAUUCUGACGCUGAGGAGCGAAAGCCAGGGGAGCAAACGGG